This 464-nucleotide ribosomal RNA is filed under the name uncultured bacterium. RNAcentral's name for it is "partial 16S ribosomal RNA". It matches the Rfam family "Bacterial small subunit ribosomal RNA", at positions 339 to 795 of the family's 1533-position model. The record is from RNAcentral.
CUACGGGGUGCAGCAGUGGGGAAUAUUGGACAAUGGGCGCAAGCCUGAUCCAGCAAUACCGCGUGUGUGAAGAAGGCCUGCGGGUUGUAAAGCACUUUCAAUUGUGAAGAAAAGCGAGAGGUUAAUAGCCUUUUGUCUUGACGUUAACUUUAGAAGAAGCACCGGCUAACUCUGUGCCAGCAGCCGCGGUAAUACAGAGGGUGCGAGCGGUAAUCGGAAUUACUGGGCGUAAAGCGUGCGUAGGCGGUUUAGUAAGUCAGAUGUGAAAGCCCUGGGCUCAACCUGGGAACUGCAUUUGAAACUGCUGAACUAGAGUGUGGUAGAGGGAAGUGGAAUUCCGGGUGUAGCGGUGACAUGCGUAGAUAUCCGGAGGAACACCAGUGGCGAAGGCGACUUCCUGGACCAACACUGACGCUGAGGUACGAAAGCGUGGGUAGCAAACAGGAUUAGAUACCCUCGUAGUC